CCUACGGGAGGCAGCAGUGGGGGAUAUUGCACAAUGGGGGGAACCCUGAUGCAGCGACGCCGCGUGGGUGAAGGCGCGUUUCGGCGCUUAAAGCCCUUUCGGCAGGGAAGAAGGAGGACGGUACCUGACUAAGAAGCCCCGGCUAACUACGUGCCAGCAGCCGCGGGAAUACGUAGGGGGCAAGCGUUAUCCGGAAUUACUGGGGGUAAAGGGGGCGCUGAGGGUAGCGGAAGCCAGGGGGGAAAUCCCGGGGGCCAAACCCCGGACUGCUGUUGAAACUGGGCGGCGGGAGUGCGGGAGGGGCAGGCGGAAUGCCUGGUGUAGCGGUGAAAUGCGUAGAUAUCAGGCGGAACACCGAUGGCGAAGGCGGCCUGCUGGACUGCGACUGACGUUGAGGCCCGAAAGCGUGGGGAGCAAACAGGAUUAGAUACCCUGGUAGUC
RNAcentral lists this ribosomal RNA (441 nucleotides) under uncultured bacterium. Its description in RNAcentral is "partial 16S ribosomal RNA". It matches the Rfam family "Bacterial small subunit ribosomal RNA", at positions 338 to 795 of the family's 1533-position model. The record is from RNAcentral.